RNAcentral lists this transfer RNA (77 nucleotides) under Pseudobdellovibrionaceae bacterium. Its description in RNAcentral is "Bdellovibrionaceae bacterium tRNA-Gly". It matches the Rfam family "tRNA". Rfam says of the family: Transfer RNA (tRNA) molecules are approximately 80 nucleotides in length. Their secondary structure includes four short double-helical elements and three loops (D, anti-codon, and T loops). The record is from RNAcentral. Lineage: Bacteria; Pseudomonadati; Bdellovibrionota; Bdellovibrionia; Bdellovibrionales; Pseudobdellovibrionaceae.
GCGGGUGUAGCUCAGCUGGCUAGAGCGUCGGCUUGCCAUGCCGAAGGCCGAGGGUUCGAAUCCCUUCACCCGCUCCA